UCCCACUAUUCUGCCCAGGCUGGUCUUGGAACUCCUGGGCUCAAGCAGUCCUCCCACCCUGGCCUCUCUAAAUGCUGGGAUUAUAGGCAUGAGCCACCACACCCAGCCUCAGAAAUUUUAUCAGUUGUUGUUUUAUAUAUUUUGAGGCUAUAUGAGUAGGUGCUUUUAUGUUCCUGGUGUUUGUAUUUUCUUGUAUUACCUCAUUCUUUGUCUUUUAUAUUUUUCCUCUUGUAUCCUCUUUUGUCAAAUAUUAAAAUUACUUCCCUGAUUUUUUUUUGGUUUAUAUUUGCUUCAUGUAUUUUCUUCCUUUUGUUUAUUCCUUCUAUUUUCUUGUUUAAAUAUUUGAAAUGGUUUUUUAUUUUUUUUCAGAUGGAGUUUCACUCUUGUUGCCCAGGCUGGAGUGCAAUGGUGUGAUCUUGGCUCACUGCAACCUCCACCUCCUAGAUUCAAGCGAUUCUCCUGCCUCAGCCUCCCGAGCGGCUGGGAUUAUAGGCAUGUGCUACCACGCCUGGCUAAUUUUUUUGUAUUUUUAGUAGAGAUGAGGUUUCUCCAUGUUGGUCAGGCUGGUCUCGAACUCCUGACCUCAGGUGAACCGCCUGCCUUGGCUUCCCAAAGUGGUGGGAUUAUAGGCAUAAGCCACUGCGCCCAGCCCGUGAUAAAGUUUUUUUAUUUUCAGUGUUUCUCUUGUAUGCAACAUAUUGCUGAACCUUAAGGAAGAAACUCAACCCAGGAACGUUUGUCUUUUAAGAAGUGUGUUUACUUUACCCAUCUUUAUUACAAUUACUAUAAUAUUAGGACUUAUUCUGCCAUUUAAUUUUAUAUUUUUCAUGUACUGUGCCUUCUUUGUUGUUUCUUUCCCCACCUUUGUUACUUUCCAUUACAUAGAGCCAACAUUCUUCUCAUGUUUUGAAAACUAUACAUUCUAUUUUCUUGUUAAUGUAGUUGCUUUAAUUUGACUUUAUGCUACUUCAUUGAAUAAUUUUUAAUUAUUUAUAUUCUUCCUAAUAAUAAAGUUCCUUUCACACCCUCCUAUCCCAUCAGUCUUGUCUUUUCCUUCCUCUUUUUUUUUUUUUGAGAUGGGGUCUUGCACUGUCUCCCAGGCUGAAGUGCAGUGGUACGAUCUUGGCUCAUUGCAACCUCUGCCUCCUGGGUUCAAGCAAUUCUGCCUCAGCUUCCCGAGUAGCUGGGAUUACAGGUGUGCGCCACUGUGCUUGGCUAAUUUUUGUAUUUUUAGUAGAGACGGGGCUUCACCAUGUUGGCCAUGGUUGGCCAGGCUGGUCUCGAACUCCUGACCUCGGGUGAUCUGUCUGCCUCGGCCUCCCAAAGUGCUGGGAUUACAGGUGUGAGCCACUGCACCCGGUCCGUUCUGCUUAUUUUCAUCAUAUUCAUAGUAUCUAUAAUUCAGGUUUUUUUUCUUUUUUUUUUUUUGGUGUAAGUUCCCAACCAAUGGCCUUGUCCUUCGAGUACUUUUCCUCAGGCUGAUGAUAAAAGUUCUGUGUGAAGGUCCUUUUGCUUCAGCUCAUCUAUGGGACGGAGUCCAGCUGCAAAUAUAUGACACAGUAACUAGAGACUCUACUCUCCAACCAAUCAUUCCAUUCUGAUUAUCUCUCACUCUCCUCCACCUCUUCUUUCUCAGACUCUCUCCCCCUUUUAGCUUUUGUUGAUAUUCAAUUUUAUUAUGUCAUUUAAUCAUGUUUAUUUCCUAUAUUGCAGGCAUCAUCCUAUCCUCUUGAACUUAUUUCUCUUCUUAUUUGGAUACUUUGAGAACUGUAAAUGUAGGUCUUUGUGUGACAAACAUUCUGAGGCUUUUGUAAUGCGAUAAUUUUUUUUUUGUUUUUGAGACAGAGUCUUGCUCUGUCACCCAGGCUGGAGUGCAGUGGCGCAAUCUCAGCUCACUGCAGCCUCUGCCUCCCCGGGUUCAAGCAAUUCUCCUGCCUCAGCCUUCUGAGUAGCUAGGACCACAGGCACGCGCCACCAUGCCCGACUAAUUUUUGUAUU
This 1998-nucleotide long non-coding RNA is filed under the name Homo sapiens (human). RNAcentral's name for it is "HSALNT0295842". Lineage: Eukaryota; Metazoa; Chordata; Mammalia; Primates; Hominidae. The record is from RNAcentral.